Molecule: long non-coding RNA, 911 nt
Filed under: Sorghum bicolor (sorghum)
Lineage: Eukaryota; Viridiplantae; Streptophyta; Magnoliopsida; Poales; Poaceae
Description: long non-coding RNA (SBIC_LNC017559)
Source: RNAcentral
CGCUUGUGUGCUCAGGAUAUACGGUUCAUUUGAAUACCUAAACCGAGUGAUAUCAAUAUCGAUGACCCCAUACUGAUCCUUAUUGUACCCUACAAUUUUUUUUGUAGCUACUGCAGGGACAUCAAACCAGUCGCAUUGGAAUAACAUUACUUCCUUCUCACCUGGAAAAUCAAGACAAAUGAUUUUCUUAAGCACACCAUACUAGUCCAUGUCUCCUGUACUUGCAUCGCCAUUAACAAAUACACCGCUAUUUUGAGUAGUUAAAGAAUUAUAUAUGGAAUUGACCUGGAAAAGGAAGCCAUUUACGUAACACCUGUUGAACACUCUUGCCCGAUGAUCUGGACCGCGAGAUAGAUAAUAAAUCAUCUCAUGUAUUUGUCCUUGUGCAUGCAAGGUACAUACCUGCAAUGAUAGCCAUUUUAUAAAUUUAUUAGAGAAUUACAAACUAAGUAGUACAAUGUGCACGGUAAGUUACUUACUUUACGCUCAAACCAUGAAACAAACUCCUCCUUGUGUCUUUUAUCAACAAGUCGAUGGUCGGUUUUCUUCAGCUCAUCCAUAUGCACACUUUCCAGAUCACUAAAAAUACAUGUGAUCAAUUAAUUUAUAAACAUAAAUAUAGAAAUAAAAAAAAUCAUCAACACCAAAAAAAAUAUAGCUUACUUUAUCCAUGGAGUCACCUCCUCACAGAUUGUUAAUAUAUAAUGUCUCAUUCUCAUCAUUUCAAAAUCAGAAAAAAUUUGUAUAGUACUUCCUCUCCUAAUAUAAUCAAUGCUUCUAAAUAUACUUAGGCCAGAUGGUUCUUCACUUGCACCUGCACUUUCAUGACGUUCUGGACGAAGUAGCUUUGUACUAAUAUUAUCAAAGAAGCGAGAGCAAAAUGUGAGACACUCCUCAGCUCUAUACCCCUC